Molecule: long non-coding RNA, 1389 nt
Organism: Oncorhynchus tshawytscha (Chinook salmon)
Lineage: Eukaryota; Metazoa; Chordata; Actinopteri; Salmoniformes; Salmonidae
Source: Ensembl
UCAAAUCACUGUUAGUCUUUUUAUUGAGGGUUGUACCCAAGUUAUACAGCUUUUGUGUUCCAACACUACAGUCAGAAGGUUUACAAACAGUUAUCAAUAUGUCUAGCGCUCGGUCGGCCGGCCGGUCGGCUCAGCCCAGGAGACCAACCAACCUAAUAAACAGCUUCAGUACACAUUCUCUUUAAUCGCACUAAAAUAACCACCAAAAAAAAAAAUCAAAUAAAACAUCAACCAAGAAGGAAAACAAAUGAAUAUAUAUCAUUAUUAUUAUGAAAUAAAAACAAUGACAACAGAACGACAGCAUCAUCGUGGUCGUCGUGGUGACGACGAUGGGAGGAGACAUGGGAUGACGGUGGGAGGAGCAGGCUGGAGUCUCUACCUUGGUUAAAUGUUACAUCAGGCCUCUGUGUUAACAAAAUAAGGAUUGUCCUUCAGAAAGUGCGGUUUUCCCCGAAGAAGACGAGAUAAUACGAAGACCCUGAGCCCCCCCCGCCCCCCUCCCCCGUCAGGAAGACACAACGCCAAAACACGGUCCCUGUAACUGACAAGUCUUUAUUAUUAGUCAUAUUAUAGACAUGGGGUUUCUCUCUGUACAUCGUAUCAAUCAGCCUCCCAAAGCAAUGUGCAUAUUAGGUUUACAGGUCAGGCCAAUAUUCUACUCUGCAUCUCAAGGUGUGAGGCUUCUAGCUGAUACAAUUCUCAGUGAUAGAACGUCUCUAUAGAAGUAAAGGAGAGAAUUCUAGAAUUCUCAGUGAUAGAACGUCUCUAUAGAAGUAAAGGAGAGAAUUCUCACUGAUAGAAUUCUAGAACUCUCAGUGAUAGAACUCUAGAACGCUCAGCGAUAGAACGUCUCUAUAGAAGUAAAGGAGAGACUUCUAGCUGAUAGAACUCUAGAACUCUCAGUGAUAGAACUCUAGAACGCUCAGCGAUAGAACGUCUCUAUAGAAGUAAAGGAGAGACUUCUAGCUGAUAGAACUCUAGAACUCUCAGUGAUAGAACUCUAGAACGCUCAGCGAUAGAACGUCUCUAUAGAAGCAGCAGUAAAUCUAACCUCCUGCCUAUAGCUGUCCCCUGUGGCUGGUUGGUUGGCUAGUAGGUAGAAAAGGUGAUGGCACACAUGUUUUUUAGGAAUACCGUGACCCCCUGGCUGCGCUGUGGCACCGUAGUUCCUACGGAGGGCAAUCACUGUCUAUGAGUCCCUGGUCAUCAGUAGUGCAGUAACAUAGGAGACAGGUCUGGAACACUGCCCAGGUCUCCACUGUGGACUGGCCUUUAGAUAUAAACAAACCAACCCCGAAUGAUCAUGGAAGGCUGGAUAACACUAUUGCAUAGUCUCUUUUAGCACCCUAUCCCCCAUUACCCUCCCCCAAUCCUCCCCCAUUACCCUCC